UUUUCAAAUAUUGCCAGUGGGUGGAGUCAGGCUCUGACCGGGGGUUUAGUUACCCUUUAAAGAUACUGUCCUAGUGACAAGAUGUUGUAAAGGUGCAAGUUUUGCUCUUUUUUUUUCUGAGCAUGUAUCCAGGGCACACUGAACUGUGCAAAUCAAGUCAUUUCAAAGGGAGUUUCCCUGAUUCCGAGUCUUCACACGGCCUGAGUGACUGAGCUACUGUACUCUAGGUGGAAAUUUGGAAUAGAUUGGAAACAUGACGUCAUUAAUUCACUCUUCCAUUGAAAUGUUCACACAUACACUCUUUCUCCCCCUGUCUCACUCUGUCUCUCUUUAGAAGAAUAGUUCACUGUUUGUGCAACAGGAAGUGUUCUGAGCUUGGUAAGUUGAAUUUUAAUCAAUGGCUACUGUCAAAUCUGCCUGGGGAAAAAAGCAACAAUAUUUUCUUGUAUGAUAUGUAAAUGGCACCGUUAAAUUUGAUAAUGAACACAGUGUAUCAUUUACCACUUUGCCUAAUUUUUCCCUCUUGGCAGUUGCACAGGUUUUCUGAAUCAGGCUGUUUUAAAUGCACUGAGUGACUGUAGGAGACCUCCAUCCUGGCACGGCCCUGAAGCAGCUUUUUAUCUCCCACCUCUAAUGCCUUACUUCUGUUUUACUGGACUAGAACUAAGAACAAAAGACCACUUCCUAUACAAAUUCUGAAAUGAAAGUAUGUUUUUCACACACAUACACACAAAUAGGUUGUGUGAGGUGAGAAGCGCUACAUUCAACAUCUGCUUAAUAGACGGAAAUAUGUUAACUCAGCUGUCUGAGGUGAGUCAUGGAGGAUCUCCUCAAGUUUACAUUCUAUUCCAGAGGAAUAAAUAACGUCCCACAGUGAAUAAAUGAUGACUUUGCUUUUUUACAACCAAAAUGGACUGUUUCAAAUCAGGAUGUAUAAACUGCAUUUUAUUAAUAUGAAUACUUUUAAUUACAAAUGACUUCUUUAUAAGUUUAUCUGCUCACUCAAUAGCUCCAACUCUAGUCUUAAAGUCAGCUGUGUCUUGCCUUCUUUAAAAUGACCAGUCACAUUUGCCUUUCAAAAGCCACUUCACGUCUACAGUUAUAUUCUGGUCUUGUCAAGUGGAGGUGGAGAGAGGACUUCCACAGUAUCUCCAUUCAGCCGGUGUGGAGGCCCUAAAUGGCCAAACCCCCAAGAGAGCCACAGAACCAGAACACUGUCCACAUUCAAUACACACAGUGGCAGAUGUUCCCUGAGGAUUGUUUGAAAAACCAUAUGAGGGUCCAUUGCUGUUUUUGAGGAACGCUGGCAUAAAGGACACCGUGUAAGAGGGUAUUGACACAGCUUUUCGGUGUCCGUUAAGGGGGAGGAAAGAAGUCUUUUUACUGGAUUUCGUUUAAAUGAAUGGAGGUAUUAUGCAGAUGUCACACCAACGGACCCCUACUGAUGUAUAUGAGCUUUCAGUGGUCAACUGACGGGUUACAGAGAGGUUAUUUUUUAAACGAAUGUAUUAAUGUGAAUUAAAGUAACAUUUAUGCAUGAAGUCAGAAUAUAAGAUUAAAAUGAUUUCCUAAGCUAAUAGCUUGGCAUUUACACAAAUUAUUAAAUUGAUUUAUUUUUA
Non-coding RNA from Pimephales promelas (fathead minnow), 1619 nucleotides. The record is from RefSeq and is a predicted model, not a curated record. NCBI's taxonomy places the organism in Eukaryota, Metazoa, Chordata, Actinopteri, Cypriniformes, Leuciscidae.